AGAUCCCUUUUAGCUUAAAUCCCCAUAACACACACUUUGUGUCGACUUGGUGGCGCAUUUUCGCUAUUAUGUGUUCUUUUAAUUAAAAUGAUUCUUUUUAAAUCUCUAAUAUUUGCUUCGGCAUUUUUGGAGAUUUGUUACUUUGAGUAAAUUAGAGUGUUCAAAGCAAACAGAUAUAGCUUUUGUGCGUUUGAAUACUACAGCGUGGAAUAACAAAAUUGAACAAGUCAAAAUUUUUGUUCUUUUUUCUUAUUUUGGCUUAUUUACUAUUAAUAGGAGUAGCUUGGGGGCAUUUGUAUUCAGAUGUCAGAGGUGAAUUUCUUAUUUUUUCUGGAGACAAACAUCUGCAAAAGCAUUUGCCUAAAAUACUUCCAUUAAUCAAAAACAAAAGUUAGGGGAGUGAAGACGAUCAUAUCCCGUCGUAAUCUUAACCAUAAACUAUGCCGACUAGGCUUUGGAUGAAAGAUUUUAAAAUAAGAGUUUUCCUUUCCCUUCGGGGUUAGGACACA
RNAcentral lists this ribosomal RNA (509 nucleotides) under Plasmodium coatneyi. RNAcentral's name for it is "bacterial SSU rRNA". It matches the Rfam family "Eukaryotic small subunit ribosomal RNA", at positions 636 to 1099 of the family's 1831-position model. Lineage: Eukaryota; Apicomplexa; Aconoidasida; Haemosporida; Plasmodiidae. The record is from RNAcentral.